This 310-nucleotide ribosomal RNA is filed under the name Escherichia coli. RNAcentral's name for it is "bacterial SSU rRNA". It matches the Rfam family "Bacterial small subunit ribosomal RNA", at positions 1 to 307 of the family's 1533-position model. The record is from RNAcentral. Lineage: Bacteria; Pseudomonadati; Pseudomonadota; Gammaproteobacteria; Enterobacterales; Enterobacteriaceae. RNAcentral also lists the same sequence under 2 other names.
AAAUUGAAGAGUUUGAUCAUGGCUCAGAUUGAACGCUGGCGGCAGGCCUAACACAUGCAAGUCGAACGGUAACAGGAAGCAGCUUGCUGCUUUGCUGACGAGUGGCGGACGGGUGAGUAAUGUCUGGGAAACUGCCUGAUGGAGGGGGAUAACUACUGGAAACGGUAGCUAAUACCGCAUAACGUCGCAAGACCAAAGAGGGGGACCUUCGGGCCUCUUGCCAUCGGAUGUGCCCAGAUGGGAUUAGCUAGUAGGUGGGGUAACGGCUCACCUAGGCGACGAUCCCUAGCUGGUCUGAGAGGAUGACCAG